GGACUACUAGGGUUUCUAAUCCUGUUUGCUCCCCACGCUUUCGCGCCUCAGCGUCAGUCUCGGUCCAGAGCGCCGCCUUCGCCACCGGUGUUCUUCCCAAUAUCUACGAAUUUCACCUCUACACUGGGAAUUCCACGCUCCUCUCCCGAUCUCUAGCCGUCCAGUCCCAGACGCACCUCCCAGGUUAAGCCCGGGGCUUUCACGCCUGACUUGGACCGCCGCCUGCGCGCCCUUUACGCCCAGUAAAUCCGAACAACGCUCGCCCCCUUCGUAUUACCGCGGCUGCUGGCAC
Molecule: ribosomal RNA, 292 nt
Filed under: uncultured Alphaproteobacteria bacterium
Lineage: Bacteria; Pseudomonadati; Pseudomonadota; Alphaproteobacteria
Description: partial 16S ribosomal RNA
Source: RNAcentral